RNAcentral lists this ribosomal RNA (253 nucleotides) under uncultured bacterium. RNAcentral describes it as "partial 16S ribosomal RNA". It matches the Rfam family "Bacterial small subunit ribosomal RNA", at positions 524 to 776 of the family's 1533-position model. The record is from RNAcentral.
UACGGAGGGGGCUAGCGUUGUUCGGAAUUACUGGGCGUAAAGCGCGCGUAGGCGGACCUGCAAGUCGGGGGUGAAAGCCCGAGGCUCAACCUCGGAACUGCCUUCGAUACUGCGGGUCUCGAGUCCGGGAGAGGUGAGUGGAAUUCCUAGUGUAGAGGUGAAAUUCGUAGAUAUUAGGAAGAACAUCAGUGGCGAAAGCGGCUUCCUGGACCAGAACUGACGAUCAGGCACGAAAGCGUGGGGAGCAAACAGG